GAUAAGACCCCGUGCACCUUUACUCUAACUUACUAUUGGGUUUGGCUGCAGCAUGCGUAGGAUAGGUGGGAGACUUCGAAGCAGGACUCGUGGGUCUUGUGGAGUCAGCGGUGAAAUACCACCCUUGUUGUAGCUGGAUUCUAACCCGGCGGAGUGGAUCCGCGGGGACAGUGGUAGGCGGGGAGUUUGACUGGGGCGGUCGCCUCCUAAAAUGUAACGGAGGCUUACAAAGGUCACUUCAGCACGGUCGGUAAUCGUGCAAAGAGUGCAAAGGCAUAAGGUGGCUUAACUGUGAGACUUACAAGUCGAGCAGAUGCGAAAGCAGGUCUUAGUGAUCCGGCGGCUCCAAGUGGAAGGGCCGUCGCUCAAAGGAUAAAAGGUACGCCGGGGAUAACAGGCUGAUCUUGCCCAAGAGUUCAUAUCGACGGCAAGGUUUGGCACCUCGAUGUCGGCUCACCGCAUCCUGGGGCUGGAGAAGGUCCCAAGGGUUUGGCUGUUCGCCAAUUAAAGCGGUACGCGAGCUGGGUUCAGAACGUCGUGAGACAGUUCGGUCCCUAUCCAGUGUGGGCGCAGGAUAUUUGAGAAGAUCCGUUUCUAGUACGAGAGGACCGAAAUGCCCGGACCUACGGUGAAUCUGUUGUAACACCAGUUGCAUCGCAGAGUAGCCACGUCCGGAAAGGAUAAGCGCUGAAAGCAUCUCAAGCGCGAAACCUACUUCAAGAUAAGAUAUCCCAUAGUGCAAACUAGUAAGAAUCCAGAGAGACUAUCUGGUUGAUAGGCCAUACGUGUAAGUAUAGUAAUAUAUUCAGCGGAAUGGUACUAAUAAUUCGAGGGCUUACUGUAAUUAUUCUCU
RNAcentral lists this ribosomal RNA (853 nucleotides) under Ignavibacteria bacterium. Its description in RNAcentral is "partial 23S ribosomal RNA". It matches the Rfam family "Bacterial large subunit ribosomal RNA", at positions 2082 to 2925 of the family's 2925-position model. The record is from RNAcentral. Lineage: Bacteria; Pseudomonadati; Ignavibacteriota; Ignavibacteria.